UGGGGAAUAUUGCACAAUGGGCGAAAGCCUGAUGCAGCGACGCCGCGUGAGGGAUGACGGCCUUCGGGUUGUAAACCUCUUUCAGUAGGGACGAAGCGCAAGUGACGGUACCUGCAGAAGAAGCACCGGCUAACUACGUGCCAGCAGCCGCGGUAAUACGUAGGGUGCGAGCGUUGUCCGGAAUUACUGGGCGUAAAGAGCUCGUAGGCGGUUUGUCACAUCGUCUGUGAAAUCCUAGGGCUUAACCCUGGACGUGCAGGCGAUACGGGCUGACUUGAGUACUACAGGGGAGACUGGAAUUUCUGGUGUAGCGGUGGAAUGCACAGAUAUCAGGAAGAACACCGAUGGCGAAGGCAGGUCUCUGGGUAGUAACUGACGCUGAGGAGCGAAAGCAUGGGUAGCGAACAGG
Molecule: ribosomal RNA, 409 nt
Filed under: bacterium
Lineage: Bacteria
Description: partial 16S ribosomal RNA
Rfam family: Bacterial small subunit ribosomal RNA
Source: RNAcentral